RNAcentral lists this ribosomal RNA (579 nucleotides) under Triticum aestivum (bread wheat). RNAcentral's name for it is "partial small subunit ribosomal RNA". The record is from RNAcentral. Lineage: Eukaryota; Viridiplantae; Streptophyta; Magnoliopsida; Poales; Poaceae.
AUGCGGCGCACCAACCAGCAGCAGGCGGAUCCGGCCACCGUGGAUACCGCACGCACGCAUCCAUUCGCAGCUCAUGGGCGCCAUGGAUCCCGCGCGCAAGCAUCCUCCCACGUCAUUCCUCUGCUGACUUACCACCACGCGCCGCCGCCGAAACAUCCCAAUCCCACCCGCCUCCCCCGUGUCACCGGCGACCCUUCGCGCUACCGCCUGGCGCGGCCGACCUCCACGGCAGCAGACGCUGUGGCUCCCUUCCUGGCAGCACCCGUGCGUCUCUCCGGACAGUCCUCUGCACAUCUAUGGCCGUUGGUCAAUGGUGUUGUAGCUACUAGGAAAGAGAGAAACGCCAUGGAGGUGUCUAGUGUUGUGCAAUAUAAUCAAAAUAUGGUGAGGCACAAUAGCAUGAGUGCCAAGGAAUUGAAGGCGCCAACGCACGCAACUGUACAAGCUUCAUCUAUACUCUAUAUUGGCUUCUUUGGUAUUCGAAUUCCCUCUGCUGAAGCACUGAAAGAGGACAUCAAGCCAAACUUCAUAACACCACCAAACCUGUCUGGUAAGAGUCGUGUUAGAUCCUAUACGUGA